AUGAUUAAUAACCUUGUGAUUGAAGUGCUUUUGGAAAACCUUCGUACGGCAAAUUCUUCUAGGGUGAAGGAAAUUUGUCUUGGAAUUAUGGGAAACUUAGUCUGUCAUGAAUCUCUAGUUGCUGCAAUCUCUUUGAAAAAUGGUUUAAUUGCAACUGUCGUGGAGCAAUUGUUUCUAAAUCAUGUCAAAUGCCUUUCUGAAACAUUCAGGUUGUUGGCUGCCAUUCUUCAGUCCAGUGCAUCUGUUUCUUGGGCUCAAGCUCUUUUACCUGAUGAGAUUCUUUCACGUAUUCUACUGAUAGUUGGGAAGACAGAUAGUACUACAUUAAUUGAAAAGAUCAUUGACUUCCUAACAACUGUCAUUGAUAAUCGAGAUGUGAUUGCUAUGCUUAUCCAGCCCUUGCUUAAACUGGGUUUAGUUGACCGUGUUAUUGGGUUACUAACAAAUGAGAUUGAAAGACCACCGGAUGAGAAGCUAGACAGAAAGGGUUCUCUUGAUUUGAUCCUUCACUUCAUGGUAGAAUCAUCAGCCAUACACUGUGUUUCAAAGGCAAUGACAUCGAAUGACCGGCUGAUUAAAGUGCUAGUUAACAUGAUCAAGUCGCCUGAUAAACAAGUUGCAAGCUAUUGCGCUUCGGUGGUGAUUGUAAUAUCAAAUAUUUUGAAAGAUGGAAAGCAUUUGGUGCCUAAGAUAUCCCAUGAUUUACCGUUCCUGGAGGGCCUACUUGAAGUUCUUCCAGCGGUCCCUGAUGAUGACCAAGCUCGAUAUGCACUUUGGAGUAUCUUAUCGUGUAUUCUGGCACAAGUGCAAGGAACUGAGUUGAACUCCUUGUCCCUCGACCAGUUUGUGUCUCUUGUCUUAGGCAAGUUCGGCCUCAUCAAAGCUGACCUCGAGAGUCAGCUGGUUGAUGAAGAGAAGUUAACACCUGAGGAUGCUCUCCUGAAGGGAUGGAUAUCGACAUGUCUCAUGGCAAUCUCCUUCUUCAUGGUGAGAUGGAUCGAGGAGAAGUCCUCCCCGGGCAACGAAGACGCCAUCGACAAUGCUUGGGAGGUGCUGAGCUACUGCCAGAACGCGCUCUGCUAA
RNAcentral lists this ribosomal RNA (1083 nucleotides) under Triticum aestivum (bread wheat). Its description in RNAcentral is "partial small subunit ribosomal RNA". The record is from RNAcentral. Lineage: Eukaryota; Viridiplantae; Streptophyta; Magnoliopsida; Poales; Poaceae.